CCUACGGGGGACUGCAGUGAGGAAUAUUGGUCAAUGGGCGAGAGCCUGAACCAGCCAAGUCGCGUGAAGGAUGACGGCCCUACGGGUUGUAAACUUCUUUUGUCAGGGAGAAAUUGGGUCCACGCGUGGGCUUAGCGAGAGUACCUGAAGAAAAAGCAUCGGCUAACUCCGUGCCAGCAGCCGCGGUAAUACGGAGGAUGCGAGCGUUAUACGGAUUUAUGGGGUUUAAAGGGUGCGUAGGCGGAAUAUCAAGUCAGCGGUAAAAAUUCGGGGCUCAACCCCGUCGUGCCGUUGAAACUGAUGUUCUUGAGUGGGCGAGAAGUAUGCGGAAUGCGUGGUGUAGCGGUGAAAUGCAUAGAUAUCACGCAGAACUCCGAUUGCGAAGGCAGCAUACCGGCGCCCAACUGACGCUGAAGCACGAAAGCGUGGGUAUCGAACAGGAUUAGAUACCCCUGUAGUC
RNAcentral lists this ribosomal RNA (460 nucleotides) under uncultured bacterium. RNAcentral describes it as "partial 16S ribosomal RNA". It matches the Rfam family "Bacterial small subunit ribosomal RNA", at positions 338 to 795 of the family's 1533-position model. The record is from RNAcentral.